UACGAAGGGUGCAAACGUUGCUCGGAAUCAUUGGGCGUAAAGCGCACGUAGGCGGCCUUGCAAGUCGGAUGUGAAAUCCCACGGCUCAACCGUGGACGUGCAUCCGAAACUGCUCGGCUCGAGUAUGGAAGAGGGUCGCGGAAUUCCCGGUGUUGAGGUGAAAUUCGUAGAUAUCGGGAGGAACACCAGUGGCGAAGGCGGCGACCUGGGCCAAUACUGACGCUGAGGUGCGAAAGCGUGGGGAGCAAACAGG
RNAcentral lists this ribosomal RNA (253 nucleotides) under uncultured bacterium. Its description in RNAcentral is "partial 16S ribosomal RNA". It matches the Rfam family "Bacterial small subunit ribosomal RNA", at positions 524 to 776 of the family's 1533-position model. The record is from RNAcentral.